RNAcentral lists this ribosomal RNA (835 nucleotides) under Psychrobacter sp. UMAB-76. Its description in RNAcentral is "bacterial SSU rRNA". It matches the Rfam family "Bacterial small subunit ribosomal RNA", at positions 565 to 1399 of the family's 1533-position model. The record is from RNAcentral. Lineage: Bacteria; Pseudomonadati; Pseudomonadota; Gammaproteobacteria; Moraxellales; Moraxellaceae.
GGGAGCGUAGGUGGCUCGAUAAGUCAGAUGUGAAAUCCCCGGGCUUAACCUGGGAACUGCAUCUGAUACUGUUGAGCUAGAGUAUGUGAGAGGAAGGUAGAAUUCCAGGUGUAGCGGUGAAAUGCGUAGAGAUCUGGAGGAAUACCGAUGGCGAAGGCAGCCUUCUGGCAUAAUACUGACACUGAGGCUCGAAAGCGUGGGUAGCAAACAGGAUUAGAUACCCUGGUAGUCCACGCCGUAAACGAUGUCUACUAGUCGUUGGGUCCCUUGAGGACUUAGUGACGCAGCUAACGCAAUAAGUAGACCGCCUGGGGAGUACGGCCGCAAGGUUAAAACUCAAAUGAAUUGACGGGGGCCCGCACAAGCGGUGGAGCAUGUGGUUUAAUUCGAUGCAACGCGAAGAACCUUACCUGGUCUUGACAUAUCUAGAAUCCUGCAGAGAUGCGGGAGUGCCUUCGGGAAUUAGAAUACAGGUGCUGCAUGGCUGUCGUCAGCUCGUGUCGUGAGAUGUUGGGUUAAGUCCCGCAACGAGCGCAACCCUUGUCCUUAGUUACCAGCGGGUUAAGCCGGGAACUCUAAGGAUACUGCCAGUGACAAACUGGAGGAAGGCGGGGACGACGUCAAGUCAUCAUGGCCCUUACGACCAGGGCUACACACGUGCUACAAUGGUAGGUACAGAGGGCAGCUACACAGCGAUGUGAUGCGAAUCUCAAAAAGCCUAUCGUAGUCCAGAUUGGAGUCUGCAACUCGACUCCAUGAAGUAGGAAUCGCUAGUAAUCUCGGAUCAGAAUGCCGCGGUGAAUACGUUCCCGGGCCUUGUACACCCGCCGCGUCA